This 2326-nucleotide long non-coding RNA is filed under the name Carassius auratus (goldfish). RNAcentral describes it as "lncRNA (ENSCARG00000048026.1)". The record is from RNAcentral. Lineage: Eukaryota; Metazoa; Chordata; Actinopteri; Cypriniformes; Cyprinidae.
GCAGCCUUGGCAAUUAAUUCUUUUAAAAAUCUUAACAACCUGAAUGGUAAUAUACUCUACAUAUUCCAUUUGUAUUCUACUUUAAAUGUACUAUUAUUCUAUGUCCUCUUUGUGAUUUCAGUUUAGCUCCAUUCAGUCCUGAAUUCUGCAUGAGUCUCAUGACCAUGUGAAUGUCUUCUUAUAUCUGCUCCAUCUGCUUCAUCUCUGAAAGGUAAUCCAUCUAAUGUGGGUUAAAUACAACCCAUGAGAGAGAGAGAGAGAAAUACAUGUGUAAAUGUGCUCAUCUGAACACAUGCAUGCAUUAUUAGUCAUAAAUGUUAAGUGUGUCUUUUCUGCCAGCCAGGUACAAUUAUAAUCUAACACCAGUGUCAGACCCCCUCCUCUCCCUUUUCCUCUGAUCCAAUCAUCUUCUCCUACAUCCGUUCUCCACUAAUCAUUUUGGCCCUCCUCACAGUCACAGCAGAAACCAAACUAAAGGACCUCCAAACUCUGCAGGGCGAUGAUGGAUGUCUUGCAGUUGUCGGGUCCAAAUCAGAGUCCAGGACAGUACAGAAAAUGGGACACAGAUGGGAUGUUUGUGCUACCGCCUGAAAGAAACACAUGAAAGAUAUAUCCCACUAUCUCCUUCUCUUUUCUUCAAAAUAUGCAUAAUUUACCUACAAUAACAGAAUUCAGUCUUGCUGUGUGAGAGACCUAAUAUUAAUAUUUUAAUUUCUAGAAUAAAAUGUAAGUGCAAAACUCGCCACCACAAUGAUACACUGGUACAAAAGCUGUCACUGGGGUGGUACCUUUUCAAAUAGUACACUUUUCUACCUAAACAAUAAGUACCUAAAGUGUACAUAUUAGUAUGAAAGGUACCGCCCAGUGACAGCUUUUGUAUCCUUUUCUCUGAGAGUGUAGGGUUUUGAUGAAGGUUGGCAUGAUGAGUCGAUGGGUGCAGUUGUCUUCCCUUUCUUGACUAAAAAUAAAAAAUUGUUUGCAGUGUGAUCAGAAGGUAGAGUUUCUUUUGUAAAAUGCAAUAAAAGUAAUAGACAUCUAUUAGAAGUUUAGACUUUUAAGCAGUGCUAAUACAAGACAUUUACAUUUAGAGACCAUAAAGACAUAUUUUUUCCAUUCAACUUUUUUGGUUUUAAAAGUUCUUAAAUUUACCUUCAUAAAACGUCCAGAAACACCUCCAGAGAGCCUCUGUUUGGACAGAAAUCUGUCUCUCUUUAAAUUAUGUUUUUGUUUGUUUAGCUUACAGAUUAACUCGAAGACAACAGACAUCAAAUAAAAGCCACACAACUGCAAUUUUGGGAUCUUAAAGCACUGUCUUCUCUCAUUUCAAGGUUUUAUAUAAAACAGACUGUAUUAUAUAGUUUUAUUGAUCCCAUCCUUUGCUGCCUUUCUCUCUUCAGUCUCCAUCUCUCUCUCUCUCAGAGCGGGGCGGGUGAGUGGGGUCAUCAUACGGUCACUGCGCUUCACCAGGCUAGACUGCGACUCAGAGCUGCAGAACAUGACAGUGUGCAUUAGUGUAGAGCUGAACGGAGAGAGAGAGAGAGAGAGAAGUGCAGUAUAAAAGAACCAGUAGGAUGAGAAACUCAUGGAGACUAUGAGAGAGAGAGUGGACAUCAGCGCACUUACAUGAACCCAGCUCAAGAUGAGCCCUGCAAAAUGUGAUUCAUCAAAUAUGGAUGCACUUUGUGUGGAUCUUUUAGAUAAAGUUCAAGGAACAGCCAUCCAUCACCCACACAGAUUAUUUUCUCAUUCAAUUCAGUUUUGAAAUCGAAGUGGAUCAUGUUUAUUUUCUAAAUGUGUCUUCCUGGUCCUGCUGUGGUUGAUUUGGUAUAGUACAUGCUGCUCCUAAUAAUUAGUCUACAAAAUACUUCACUUUUUGGAUGAUGUAAUCUUACUUUUUUAAAGGUUUUCUGAAAUAUAAAAACAGUGGAAACACUUUACAAUUAGGUAAUGCACUUUAGGCCGCAGUGUUGUUUUCUGAUACUAAAGUUUUUAUUCAUACUUUGAGUUUUUAUUUUUACAUUCCAUUUUAGAAUUUUAGUUAAAGUUUUAGUAAUUUUGUUGUGUGUUUUGUAAUUGUCUAUUAUAUAGUUUUUAUUGAUUUGUAUUUUGCUUUUAAACUAAUGAGAAUAAGAAAUGUUGCCUUGUCAACUAGUUGAAAAAGUUUAUUUUUAGUGUAUUUUAUUUUAACUCAGUUAAUGUUUAUUUUCAUAAAAGUAAUUUAAAAAAGUUUUAGUUUUAUAAUAAUUUGUCAUAAUCAUUCAAUUGUCAUUUAAAGUUUUUAAUAUUUUUAUUUCAGUUUUAGUUUGUGAUAUUUUGGUAUUAAGUU